GCGAUCCCAGGUCAGGCGGGACUACCCGCUGAGUU
This 35-nucleotide ribosomal RNA is filed under the name Quercus hartwissiana. RNAcentral describes it as "partial 25S ribosomal RNA". The record is from RNAcentral. Lineage: Eukaryota; Viridiplantae; Streptophyta; Magnoliopsida; Fagales; Fagaceae.